Molecule: long non-coding RNA, 6288 nt
Filed under: Erythranthe guttata (spotted monkey flower)
Lineage: Eukaryota; Viridiplantae; Streptophyta; Magnoliopsida; Lamiales; Phrymaceae
Description: long non-coding RNA (EGUT_LNC003377)
Source: RNAcentral
UUUCUACACUACACAUGAUUCUUACAACACGAGGCUGUUUCUCUACAACCGGGACUCCAACGGAGACGUCAUCGGGGCAGCUGCUGCAGGUACUCCGCCUAAAACACACACAACACACAUUCAAGAAACAAGGAAGAAACGAAAAAAAUAUAAAAAAAUUAUAAACGUAAUCAACUCAUAUAGUAAGAUUUUUUAAUUACUAUGUCAGAUGCUGUAGGAUGAAUAUUCAAUUGGGCCCAACUGCCAACUUUUCUGUUGGUUAUAACUUUCAGGCUUCAGCAGCAUUACUUGUUCUUCUAACUAUACUUCAAGCAUAAUUGGAAACUUACCCAAACAUAGUAAUCCCAAUGUAUAACAUAUUUACCCUCACCAAAAUAUUUCUUUACGGAAAUCGCAUCACAACAUUACCGAUAUUGAAGGAUAAUAGGGUAAAAGGACUAUUUUCUUCACCACGUGACAUCUUUUGAUAACGUUCAUUACUACUGACAAAUCCAGAUCAAGUGAAUUUUUUUUCCUAGAUGAGAAAUACCCUAAACGGUCAUCGCUUUUUACAUCUUAAUUUCAAAAUAAAAAGCAUACAACUAUGUUAUGUUGCCCAUGAAAUGCAGGUUUGGACCUGCUGAAGAAUAUUGAAGUGCAAGCCAUAAUAGGUCCCAUGUACUCGGUACAGGCUAAUUUCCUUAUUUCUCUUGGACAGAAAGCUCACGUUCCUAUUAUUACCUUCUCAGCCACAAGUCCUUCUCUUUCAUCACUAAGGAGUCCUUAUUUCGUUCGGGCUACUCUAAACGACUCUACGCAAGUAAACCCCAUAGUUGCAAUUAUUCAAGCCUUUAAAUGGAAAGAAGUCGUGCCAAUCUAUGAGGAUAACGAAUUCGGGGAAGGGAUUGUACCGUUUUUAAGCGAUGCCUUAGAACAGGUAAAUGUGCGCGUACCUUACAGGAGUGUCAUUCCGUCAUUAGCAACAGACGAACAAAUUGUCGAUGAGCUUAACAAGCUGAAGACUAUGCAAACAAGAGUAUUCAUCGUGCACAUGUUACGCAGUCUCGGUUCUCGCCUGUUCGCCAAAGCAGCACAACUAGGAAUGAUGAGUAAAGAUUACGCAUGGAUAAUAACAGACAGCAUCACAAACGAAUUAACUGCAAUGGAUCCUUCUCUCGUAGCAUCGAUGCUAGGAGUAAUAGGAGUAAAACCUUAUAUUCCACAGACAAAAGAGCUGGACGACUUUGCAAUUCGAUACAAAAACAAGAUUCAGCAGAGCAAUCCAAAAGCUCUAAAUCUGGACAUAUAUGGUAUAUGGGCUUAUGACUCGGCCCUUGCACUAGCCAUGGCAGUUGAAAAAGCAGAGUUAGCAAAUCUUACAUAUCAGAAGACGAACACGUCGACAAAUUCUACAGAUCUUGAAGCCUUUGGGGUAUCGUUAAGUGGACCAAAGCUCAUUCAGGCUUUAUUGAGUAUCACGUUUAGAGGCCUUGCUGGAAACUUCCAAUUAGUCGAUGGCCAACUCCAAGCACCGCCUUACGAAAUAGUCAACAUUGUUGGUCCUGGAGCUAGUGGUAUAGGAUAUUGGACAAAAGAGAAUGGAAUUGUCAACAAACUAAACUUCAGUAGUUCAAGCGCAAGCGCAUAUUCAACUUCCAAAGACAACCUCGGAUCAAUUACAUGGCCAGGCAACGAAUCAUCGCCACCUAAAGGUUGGGUGGUUCCAACAAAAACCAAGAAAAUGAGAGUAGGCGUGCCUGUAAAGGAUGGUUUCACUGAAUUCGUCCGUGUUACAUGGAAUUCCGACAAUUCUACGACAGUGGAAGGAUUCUGCAUAGAUAUUUUUGAUGCGGUGAUGAAAGCACUACCAUAUGAUGUGCCGUAUGAAUACAUUCCAUUUGCAACUCCUGAUCACAAGAUGGCUGGAGAUUAUAAUGAAAUGGCCUAUCAAGUGUACCUUGGAGUAAGUAUUUUCCCUUUUCUUAUUGAAUUUAAAAAUCAAAUACAUUUUCUAUCAGCACAAAGCAAGAUGCACUAUACUAUGCCUGAAUUCUUCUAUUCUCUGCUUAUUGAUGAAUAGAACUAUGACGCUGUGGCUGGUGACGUAACAAUUCUAGGAAAUAGGUCUCAGUACGUAGACUUCACUCUGCCUUUUAUAGAGUCUGGUGUUUCGAUGGUUGUACCGAUCCCAGAGGAUAAGAAGGGAAAUACAUGGAUAUUAGUGAAGCCAUUGACUUGGGAGUUGUGGUCAACAAUAUUCUUCUUUUUUGUUAUAAUUGGGAUUUUGGUUUGGCUUCUUGAACGCCCAGAAAAUAGAGAUUUCAGAGGGUCUCGUUGGGACCAAUUUUGCAUGAUAUUCUGGUUCAGCUUCUCCACCAUGUUCUUUGCUCACAGUAAGCUACCUUUCAUCUUUUAAACUACAGUAAGUCCUUUUUUACCAAAUAUUAAAACCUACUUAAUUAACUCUGCCAAUUUUGGCAUUGACUUUUUUUUUUUUUGGUAGAGGAGAAGGUGAAAACCAACUCCGCCAAGAUAGUGGUGAUUGCAUGGCUAUUGGCGGUAUUUAUAUUAACCCAAGGCUAUGCUUCCAGUCUUACAUCCAUGUUAACAGCCCAGCAGCUGAUAGUGAAUGAUGUUAAUGAGCUUAUAAGAAACAAGGACUAUGUAGGCUACUCGAAUACAUCGUUUGUAUAUGGAUUUCUGAAAAACCUUUUUAACGAGUCGCAACUUCGGCCUUUCAACUCAGCAGAGGAAAUGGAUGAACUUCUCUCCAAAGGGAGUGCAAAUGGUGGAAUAGCAGCUGCCUUUCAUGAGAUCCCAUAUAUAAAGAUGUUUCUAGGCAAAUACUGUUCGAAAUACAUGAUGGUCGGACCCACUUAUAAGGCUGCUGGUUUCGGAUUUGUAUGUGACCCUCUUCACUAUAUAUAUGUUUUCAUUUUUUAUUUUUAUUUUUGCUUUCUAGACUCUCUUUCUCUCUUAUUUGCAGGUUUUUCCAAUAGAUUCUCCUCUAGUACCUGAUGUUUCGAGAGAAAUUUUGAAUGUGACUGAGGUUCAAAAAAUGGUGGAUAUUGAAAAGAAGUGGUUGGGAGAUGAGUCCAAAUGUCCAGACACUGACACCAAAAGUAUUGGCCUAUCAAGCUUCAGGGUAGUCUUUAUUAUUGUAGGAACAGUUGGAAUAGCAGUGGUCAUAAAUUAUAUGAUUAGACAAGGACGUGAAAAUAAGAAUGUCCAUAAAGAUGAUCCCCCAAUUGUCCAUAAUGAUCCCCCAAUUGUCCAUAAUGAUCCCCCAAUUGUCCAUAAUGAUCCCCCAAUUAUCCAUAAUGAUCCCCCAAUUAUCCAUAAUGAUCCCCCAAUUGUCCAUAAUGAUCCCCAAUUAUCCAUAAUGAUCCCCCAAUUAUCCAUAAUGAUCCCCCAAUUAUCCAUAAUGAUCCCAAAAUUGUCGAUAAUGAUCCCACAAUUGAGAGACAGAUAUAUGAGUUAUGGCAGUCACUAAAGACUUUCAAGGAAAGACUAACACCUAAACUCUAGCACAUGUGGCUGUCAGGUUUCUGUUUACCUCAAAAUAAAGAUUGGUGUGCGACUCUUAAUUGAGGAGGUGGUAUCCUAAUUUCUAAAUCUCAUUCUACGUGUUUCGUAAUUUUUUUCCCCUUAAAUUCUCUUUCUUGAAAUAACGUGAUUAACUUCUCUUCUGAGAAUAUCUUCUUGGGACUUUGAUCGGCAAGUUCUCUUAUGUUUUGUUUCAUGUUCUAACCUUUUGCUUUUACUGUGAUUAUGAUACAUAAAUUUGAACUUUGUUUUGGUUAUGUAUAUCCUCAUAAAACUUUAUCCAAAAGUUUGCAUUUUUUAUCGAUUCCUCAUUGACUCUUGUAAGUUGUAAGGGUGUGAGAGUGAGACUAAGAAAUGUGUUCGAAAUCAUGACAUAGAAACUCAAAUUUUUGCUGUCUUGGAAAGUUCUACUCACCCCUUACAUAUUCCCACUAUAAUUCCCUCUCGUCAAACAUAUUUGGAUUCUUCUACAUUAUAGCUUUUACGAUGGAAAAACUUAAGCUAACAGUGAAAAUGAGAUGCACAAGGAAUUAAAUGUUUACUGAGGAAUGACAAUCAUUACGAGCACGACAAUGGAAGUAAGGAGAUAAUUUCUAGGAGUUCAUAUUUGGGUACCGAGUAAGAAUUUGAGUAUCCUUGUCUAACAUGUUGAGCUUCGUGCCGCACGUGCAGACGUAUCUGAUCGAGGUCUCCUUUCUCCAAUUCUUCUUCUUCUUUUUGCCAAACUCAACUACAUUUGUACACAAUGAAUCACUCAAAGUCAGUUUUACCAAUAAAAAAGGACAAAAGGAAAAAAAAUCAAAUUUACAUUAUUUACUCAGCUCUGUGAUUACAUGGAAGUUGGAAAUAAAACAGAAUCCUUCUGUGAAUCUUGAGAAUAUAUUUUGUAAUUUACGCAGAGUGUUUUACGGGCUACGAAACAUUCCAAUUUUUCAAUAACAUGCAAUAUUUAAAUUAUGUUCUAAAAUUGCGAACACUCUCUUGAGUAAUUACAAUACAAAAUACCCUAAAUUUAAUUUUAAUUUACAGGUAAUUGGAAAGGUGUAAUCUGCAAGUGGAAUGGAUUGGGAAAUGAGUAGAGAAAAGAAUGACAAGUAGACUAUGAGUGUGCUUGUCUUCACGUCUUGAGCCUUAUGGAAAGUUGACCUUUCUGGUCGAAGACUUAUUUAUAUUCUUCUUCUUGACCAAGUCAACACACACGUACACACCCAAUCAAAUUUGAACCCCGUCCUCUCCCACACCCCACAGUGAGAGAAAAAGCCACAAUACCAACCUAAGGCCUUAAUUGACGAUAAAAGGUUACCUUUAACAAAUAGUCAAUAGGAUACAAGGACUGUUGGUGACGAAACCAAUAGGUAUUUUAUAUUUUGGAAUAAAUUACAGAAACUAUUUAAGACUUGUGCUAUUUGUAAAAGUAAAAUAAAGGGAAAGAUCAUAUAACUUUUCGGAUCAGCUUAAAAAUUACCAACCAUUUUUUUCAUCAAGUUGCAUGCAUGUUGGUGAUACGUCAUUGACUUCACAAAAGUAAACUCUAUGAUUCUUUCAGCACACACCAUGCUGGAUUAUAUAUAUAUUCUGUAUUAUACACAUAGCACAGACCAUGUUUUGGGCCCUACCUAUAUUUUAACUGUGGAUGUGACAGUUGAAGACAAACCCUUCAAACAAUGGUAACCAAACAAUGAUCAUUCUCUCAAGUCUCAAACAUGCAAAAUUUAGGAAAAAAGGAUAUGGAGAAGAGAAGAAUUACCUGCAGCAAACCAAUUCUGCAUCUCUUCUUUUAUUUAUUGAUCACUUUGAAGAUUUUUCCUACAAAAAUGGCGACGGCUCAGAACAUCACUGUAAGAGUAGGGGUUGUGUUAAACAUGGAUGGUUUUGGACAGAUGUCAUUCAACUGCUUAUCAAUGGCGCUUACGGAUUUCUACUCUACGCACAAACAAUAUAGAACGAAGCUGGUUCUUACCGACCGGGACUCCAAAGACGAUGCCGUUGGAGCAGCUGCAGCAGGUACUCUGCCUAUAAAAAAACAUAUAACACACACUCAGGAAAUAAGGAAGAAGAAAUAGAGGAAACAAAAAGUUAUAAUUUGAUUUAGCCUAUUAACUAUUCAAUGAUUUUCUUAUUCUUGUUCUGAGGUCUCCCAUGUGAAACAAUGGGUCAAUCGCUUUGUCUUGUCUGAAAAUGGAUGUUAUUAAUUAAACUAGUUGGCAAUCAAGAAAUUCUAUAAAUUUCAAAUUACAAUUCUGUAGGAACAAUCCAUAAUGAUUUUUUUGGGUAUGGCAUUUUAGUCUGUCCGGGAAACAAGUUUAUGUAUAAGAAAGAGUAAACGCUCUACUACUAUAUUGUUAGUUUCUUGCUCAAGUUCAACAGAACAAGAUGUUACUAGAUAUCACAGGGCCAAAAAACACUCUUAUUUAUCUGUUCCUCACAGGCUAGUUUGCUUAAGCAUUAUACAUAUUUUUCCCAAUAAAAGCUAUAAACUUUUCCUAGUUGUAUAAGUGAGAUUUUAAAAAAAAUUUAAGCCCACAAAACUUCAAUUUUCAAGAAAGGAGGAAGAACAUUGAAAUAUUAAAAUUUUCUAAAUAUUCACUCAAGAUGUGGCUGUAUCUACUACUAUUCAGUUCUUUACAUGGAAAAAUUGUGUUGAAGUACUAGCUGAAAUAUUACCAUAUACUGGGAAAGUGCAAACAGAUUCAAGAUGCACCUUCCAGAAUGUAGGCAAUCGACUGAUGAACGUUUUGUUGCACAUGAAAUGCAGGUCUGGAC